CAUGUUUAUUGCAAUUGAAUAAACUAAUGAUUUUAGUCUAUAUAAAAUAACAAAACAAAUUUUUGACACAAUUGAAAUUUUCUUAGCAAGUUAUUUGUAACAUUAUACACGACAUACUCGUCUCUCAAUAAAUCGUAAUGAAACUAUUUUCUUUAGUCUUCUUCUCAGCUAUCGUAUUUGUAGUUAUCCAUAAUGAUCAUUACAUGUCAAUGAGUAAAGCCGCGUCAGGUGAGUUGAAUUAAAGUAAAUAAUAAUAGAAACUUUGUAUUAUUAUAAACUUUAAGUACCAAAUAACUACUGAAAUUUAUUUUUUGACAACGUUAUUUAUCGACCUGUUUUAAAGUUGAGC
Molecule: long non-coding RNA, 349 nt
Organism: Daktulosphaira vitifoliae (grape phylloxera)
Lineage: Eukaryota; Metazoa; Arthropoda; Insecta; Hemiptera; Phylloxeridae
Exons: 3
Source: RefSeq, a predicted model, not a curated record